Mus musculus (house mouse) is the source of this 3639-nucleotide RNA transcript. It is a transcript of the gene named dynein, axonemal assembly factor 5, with no coding region annotated. The transcript has 13 exons. The record is from RefSeq and is marked validated. NCBI's taxonomy places the organism in Eukaryota, Metazoa, Chordata, Mammalia, Rodentia, Muridae.
UAAGGGGCGCACACUCAGCCUCGAGCAACCCAGGCAGCCGGAAGUCUUGCCGUAAAGCGUGCUCGGACCAUCGUACUAGCGCCGGUUCCCUUGGAGACAGGCAACGCGCUCAAGAUGGCGGCGCCGGCGGAGGCGGAGGUGGCCGCGGCCCCGGGCUUAACCGAGGCGGCUGAAGCCGCGGAACUGACCCGCGCGCUAAGCCGCCUGCUACCGGGGCUGGAGACGGAAAGUAAGCUGGGGCGGCGGCGCGCUCUGGAGGCUCUGGAGCAGGUACUGGAAGAGGCGGUGCGGCCCGGCGCGGAUUCCGCGGCCUUCCAGGGCCCCUGGGCCCGUCUGCUGCUGCCGCGCCUGCUGCGGCUUCUAAGCGAUCCGGCCGAGGGCUGCCGCGCGCUGGCCGCUCACCUGCUCGACCUUGGCCUGCGCCGCGCCGCGCGGCCCCGCGACGCUCUGCCGCGUCUGCUGCCGGCGCUCAGCGCACGCCUGGCCCGACCUGAACUCGCGCGGCCGCCGCCGGAGCCCUGCGAGGAGCUGCGUCUCGCCCUCGUGCAGCUGCUCCACCUCGCCGUAGACCUGGGCGGCGCCGCGCUCGCGCCCCACCUGGACGACGCCGUGCGCGCCUUGCGGGCCGCGCUGCUCGACCCCUUCGCUGCGGUGCGCCGGGAGGGCUGCGAGUGCGCAGCCGCUCUGGCCCGUGCCACUCCGGAGCACUUCCACAUGCAAUCGGAGUCCUUGAUAGGCCCCCUGAUGCAGACCAUCUCCCACCAGCACUGGAAGGUCCGGGUAGCCGUUAUCGAAGCCACGGGCACUGUGAUCCAGUUUGGCAGUGGGAACUCGGUGGAUGAUGUCCUUUCCCACUUUGCUCAAAGACUCUUCGAUGACGUCCCUCAGGUCCGGCAGGCAGUGACCUCGGUGGUCGGGGGAUGGCUGCUGAAUCUCCGGGACCGCUACUCCUUCCUACACAAGCUCACCCCACUGCUGCUCAGCAGCUUCAGUGAUGAAAUGCCUGAGAUCCGGCAGACAGCCACCAGCCUAUGGGAGAAGGUCGGGCUGCAGUGGCAGCAGGAGAACGAGGCAGAUCUAAAGGACAAGCUGGACUUCGCUUCACCUCCUCCUCCCAACUACCCUGAGCACGAGAGCCGCCCUGGCCUGGGCUGCCGAGAGCUGGUCUUCAGGAACCUCUCCAAGGUGCUUCCUGCCAUCUGUCAUGAUAUCACCGACUGGGUGGUGGGGACGCGGGUGAAGGCAGCACAGCUGCUGCCGGUGCUGCUGCUGCACGCAGAGGACCACAUCACCCAGCACCUGGAGAUCGUCCUCAGAACCCUGCAUCAGGCCUGCACCGAUGAAGAGAAGGCUGUGGUCGGCAGUUGCAUAAGAGCCGCAGAGCUCAUUGGCACCUUUGUCAGCCCAGAAGUAUUUCUGAAACUGAUCUUAGCCAUGCUGAAGAAAGCACCCUCUGCCUCUGGCCUCUUGAUCCUCGCUUCUGUCAUCCGGGGCUGCCCCCGGAAUGCCCUCCAGCCACACGUCACAGUCAUAGCCACAGAGCUGGCCCAGGAGCACAUCUGCCAGGGGUCUGAGAAUAAUCUCUACCUGGAGCAUCUGCUGCUGUGUGUGCAGGCCCUGCUGUCUGUAUGUCAGGAAGACUGUCGAGCUGCCAGCCUGCAGUUCCUGGAGGUGCUGGUGACAAUAAUGGCAGUCUCAGAUGCCGUGGGUCUUGAGAAGAAGGCCCAGAAGACCAUGGACACACUGGCUGAGGUGGAGGAUAUCCCCAGCAGUCAGGACCUCUACCGCAAGCAUGUGGGUGCACUCCUGGAGCGGCUGACAGCCUCGCAUGGCGAGUGGGCAGUGCACUCUGUGCAGUUGCUGAAGUUCACUGUGCUCCUCACCCAGGCAGGCCCGGCUGUGGGAGAAGCGCUGCAGCAUGUGAUCCCCACCCUCAGGGCCUGUCUCCAGCCCUCCACAGACCCACACAUGCGCCUGAAGCUCUUCUCUAUCCUGUCCAUGAUGCUGCUGAGGCCUAAGGACACUGUCGAUUCUCAGGGACAGUUCCGUGGCUAUUUGGAUAUGGUAAUAAAUGACAUCCUAGCCCCCAACCUGCAGUGGCAUGCAGGGAGGACAGCUGCAGCCAUCCGGACGGCUGCUAUAUCCUGCCUGUGGGCACUCAUCAGCAGUGACAUCUUAUCGGCCAAGCAGGUGUGCUUCGCAGCAUUCAAGCUGCAUUGCCUGGCAUUGAGCACUGGUGUGCUGACAGCAUGGGUGGUCCCACGUUCCUCACACCCAUUUGUGGCCUGCAGGUGCAAGAGGCACAAGAGACCCUGAUGCCACAAGUGCUGGCUACGCUGGAGGACGACUCCCAGACCACACGCCUGAUGUCCUGCCGCAUCAUCAACAUGUUCCUCAAGAAUUCAGGGGACACCAUGGAGCCAGAGAAAUUCCUCAAGGUCUAUCCUGAGCUCUUGAAGCGCCUAGAUGAUGUCUCCAAUGAUGUGAGGAUGGCAGCUGCUUCUGCCUUGCUCACCUGGCUCAAGUGCAUCGAGAGCUUGGAUGGGAAGUCCGCCUAUCAGAGCAGCGUUCAGUUCCUGUACCGGGAGCUGCUGGUCCACCUGGAUGACCCAGAGAGUGCCAUUCAAGACACCGUCCUAGAAGUCCUCAAGGAGGGCAGCGUCCUGUUCCCAGAUGUGCUGGUGCGGGAGACGGAGGCUGUCGUCCACAAACACCGCUCAGCUACCUACUGCGAGCAGCUGCUGCAGCACAUGCAGACCAUGGCCGCUGCUCGGUGACUGUGUGCAUCAGCUACUGAAGGCAGACAGUGGUGGCCUGCAGACCUCGCACUUGAGACACUGUGUCCAUGGCCUCGGGCCAUCCUUGGGCCCCCAGAUGGUGCUUGAACAUCAGCUUCUGUGUUUCCUAAGCAGAUUUCUGGGGUUUUGUAACACACAUACACACACACACACACACACACACACACACACACACACACACACACACGCCAGCUUCCCAAUUAGCUGCUUGAACAUAAUGUUUUUAAAUUACAAGCCCCAGGGGUCCUGGGCUGCUUUCAGAUUCACCAUAAUGCUCUUCACAUUGCAGGAAAGCCAAAGGAUUAUAAAACAACCAACCAUCCACUUCCUCUGGGCUCUGUCCCAUCAUCCUGUGCUGAGGACAGUGUCCAGUCUUGACUCACUGAUAAAGUUUCUCCCAACUAUUCUGGGUUUUGACACAGGGUUUCCCUGUGAGGCUUUGACUAUUCUGGAACUCUCAGAGAUCCACCAGCCUCUUCCUCCCCACACUGAGAUUAAAGACCCGCACCACUACCACCCUGCUCCUCCCGAUUUUAAAUACACUGGAAUGUCUUGCAGUGUGGGUGCACUGUCCUGGUGUUUCUGUUUCUCAGUAUUAGUGAUGCCCGUGGGUAAAGGAUAGACUAGGAAACCAGCCUUCAUCCCUACCACUUGCUGUAGCAGUCAGUAAGGUGGCCAUUCUCCAGUGUCUUUUCCACCAAGUGCCUAAAGAUUUCUAAGUGGUUCUUAGCCGCAGCCUAUAUUUUUGUUAAGACAAUGUUGGGGGGGGGGGGGGUCGUGUCCAACAAAUUUUAACAUUUCUGCUUUGCCAUUUAUGGAAUUAAAUUAUUUAUUAUAGUUA